Bos taurus (domestic cattle) is the source of this 1505-nucleotide long non-coding RNA. NCBI's taxonomy places the organism in Eukaryota, Metazoa, Chordata, Mammalia, Artiodactyla, Bovidae. The record is from Ensembl.
CUUGGAUUCGACCUGGCACUCCCAAUCAGAAGCCAUCCUUUCUUAGCCCUAAUAAAAAUGUUUAUUCUGGAGAGAAACCCGUCUAUAAGAGGGUUUCGGUGAAACUUCUAGUAGAUACAAGAAAAUAUACUGAUGGGUUUAACCUGAUUGAAAACUUAAAGGAGUUGAAGUCAGAUCCUGCUGACAAAAGUAUGGAAAAUGUGUCUGUAAUUAACUGGCCUCCUUCCAAAUAACAGCAGACAGCCACUUCAGUGUGGAACGGUCAGUCUGUGGUAGUAGAAUAUACUCUUAGGUCCUAUAAGAGAAUGACAUUUGUGGUCGCACUCAUAGGACCUACGUACUGAGUGACAGAUCAUAAUGUUUUGUUGCUGUUGAAGUUUCCAUGGAACAGUGCGAGUGAAGCUGGAUUCUCCUGGGCUUUCAGUCCUCAAAAGUCUUAAUGUAGUUCCCCUCUUACUCCUAUAUAGGCUUUCCAAAGAGUUUUAGUCAUAGCCUGGAUUUAUAUAAUCCAGGACACCCUGUUAGCUGAAACAUGGAGCUUCAGAAGGGAACACAAAACAGUGAACAGACAGCCAAAGUUCAGUAUAACCACAGAAUUCGCCCUCCUCCAGCUGAGGCCUGGAAAGAGGAGAGGAGAGGAGGGGGGAGUUGACUCUGGGCCGAGGUCAACCAUGGGCUCAUGUCCUCUCCCCCAGUGCUUAGCUUAGAGUCAACUGUGGGGCUUAGGGCCAGCAUUGGACAGCCAGGUCAGGGCUGGGAUGGGGGGCUUGUAGCGCCACUGCCAGAGUCAACUGCCUGCCUCCCCUGGAGCCCUGACUAGCCACUGAUCCUGGCCUCAGACAGACUCACAGGGAACAUACCGCUGGGCCCUUUGUUGCACGUGGAUGGGGAUUCUGAAGUGCGCUGUAUCCGCAUGUAGAACUUCGUCCACUUUACCUGGUGAUCUGGUGAACGAGAUGAGUAACUCUGGAACUCUGACUCAAGUUGAAUACUGUUUUUGUUUCUUUUUCCAGAACCAAAGUUUGUAGACAUUCGUAGAACUUUCUGGGUUCUCUCUGAAUAGAUUUUUUAUGUGAAUAAGAUAUAAAUAUGUAAUGGAAAAGGAGUUCCAUAAUGAGGCACAUUGACCUACUUCUUGCUGUCGUUUUCUAUCACUGAGGGAAUGUAUUGUAGAUGGACAGAUGGCAAAUAAAGAGCAUCCUGAGUGUGACGUGGGUUUCUUGUGUUUUUCAGCACAUCCCCUGGGAAUGCCCAUGUGCAUGUGGCUUUUAUGGAGAGGCAAGUGUGCUAGAAGCAAAUCCAUAUUCAGUGUUUGCUGUGGUAAUCUCAUAGUUCUCUAUUUGAAAUUUCUCGAUGACUUGAUAAAGGAGAGGACAUGUCAAUAGGAAUUUUUUUUUUUGGCCCUAAUAAGUCACAGAAACUGAAAAAAAUGUCCAGCAGUUUGUUUCACUUAGAUUCUUUGCCCAUGUAGAUUAUGACAGAGUGUUGAGUAGAUGAGUUCCCUG